AUGUUAUCCCCUCGCGUCGUCCGGCCCCAGCCCCACGACGGCGCGGCCUCCGCCGGCUCCUCCUCGUCGCGGCGCCACAUGGUGGACCGCGUGUCCGAGUGGGAGCUCGGCCUCCCCUCGGCCGCCGAGCUGACGCCCGUCUCGCAGCCGCUCAUCCCGCCGGCCCUCGCCGCGGCCUUCGGGAUCGGCCCCGCGGACGCGCUCUCCUCCCCCGUGGACGCCGGCUUCCUCCACGACUCGCCCACCUCCCACCUGACCCUCAGGUUCGACGAGUACGACGAGGAGGACGAGGAGGAGGGGGAGGGCGAGACCGACGACGCCGCCGCCCCCGGGGGCCGGAGGGGCGGCGGCGGCGGCGGGAAGAAGGCGAGGAUGGUGUGGACGCCGGAGCUGCACCACCGGUUCGUCGAGGCCGUCGAGCACCUCGGCGAGAAGGGCGCCGUGCCCAAGGCCAUCGUGCGCCUCAUGAACGUCGACGGCCUCACGCGGGAGAACGUCGCCAGCCACCUCCAGAAGUACCGCCUCUACCUCAAGCGCUCCAGCCCCGGCGCCGCCGCGCCCGCGCCGCCGCCACCGCCCUUCUUUCCCCGCUUCGACGUCCAGCGACCGCAUCAAGACUCCGCCAACCGGAGCGGUUACUGCGCGUAUCCGUAUGUUUCCUACCAGAAGCUCGGAUGCGAUUGA
Molecule: ribosomal RNA, 684 nt
Filed under: Triticum aestivum (bread wheat)
Lineage: Eukaryota; Viridiplantae; Streptophyta; Magnoliopsida; Poales; Poaceae
Description: partial small subunit ribosomal RNA
Source: RNAcentral